CGGGAGGCAGCAGUGGGGAAUCUUCCGCAAUGGACGAAAGUCUGACGGAGCAACGCCGCGUGAACGAUGACGGCCUUCGGGUUGUAAAGUUCUGUUAUAUGGGACGAAAGGAAUGGUUAAUACCCGGUGUCUUUGACGGUACCGUAAGAGAAAGCCACGGCUAACUACGUGCCAGCAGCCGCGGUAAUACGUAGGUGGCAAGCGUUGUCCGGAAUAUUGGGCGUAAGGGCGCGCAGGCGGCAUCGCAAGUCGGUCUUAAAAGUGCGGGGCUUAACCCCGUGAGGGGACCGAAACUGUGAAGCUCGAGUGUCGGAGAGGAAAGCGGAAUUCCCAGUGUAGCGGUGAAAUGCGUAGAUAUUGGGAGGA
This 366-nucleotide ribosomal RNA is filed under the name uncultured bacterium. RNAcentral describes it as "bacterial SSU rRNA". It matches the Rfam family "Bacterial small subunit ribosomal RNA", at positions 342 to 705 of the family's 1533-position model. The record is from RNAcentral.